RNAcentral lists this ribosomal RNA (410 nucleotides) under uncultured microorganism. RNAcentral's name for it is "bacterial SSU rRNA". It matches the Rfam family "Bacterial small subunit ribosomal RNA", at positions 509 to 917 of the family's 1533-position model. The record is from RNAcentral.
CAGCCGCCGCGGUAAUACGUAGGGUGCGAGCGUUAAUCGGAUUUACUGGGCGUAAAGCGUGCGCAGGCGGCCCGUUAAGACAGGUGUGAAAUCCCUGGGCUCAACCUAGGAAUUGCGCUUGUGACUGGCGGGCUCGAGUACGGUAGAGGGGGGUGGAAUUCCUGGUGUAGCAGUGAAAUGCGAAGAGAUCAGGAGGAACACCGAUGGCGAAGGCAGCCCCCUGGGCCUGUACUGACGCUCAUGCACGAAAGCGUGGGGAGCAAACAGGAUUAGAUACCCGGGUAGUCCACGCCCUAAACGAUGGGUACUAGCCGUUUGGUGCGCGAUAGCGCUGAGUGGCGAAGCUAACGCGUGAAGUACCCCGCCUGGGGAGUACGGCCGCAAGGUUGAAACUUAAAGGAAUUGGCGGG